Molecule: small nuclear RNA, 19 nt
Filed under: Arabidopsis thaliana (thale cress)
Lineage: Eukaryota; Viridiplantae; Streptophyta; Magnoliopsida; Brassicales; Brassicaceae
Description: snRNA_14971
Source: RNAcentral
GGCCGGGGGACGGACUGGG